UGCAAGUCGAACGAUGAAGCCGCUUCGGUGGUGGAUUAGUGGCGAAGGGAGAGUAACACGUGGGCAAUCUGCCCUUCACUCUGGGACAAGCCCUGGAAACGGGGUCUAAUACCGGAUAACACUCUGUCCCGCAUGGGACGGGGUUGAAAGCUCCGGCGGUGAAGGAUGAGCCCGCGGCCUAUCAGCUUGUUGGUGGGGUAAUGGCCUACCAAGGCGACGACGGGUAGCCGGCCUGAGAGGGCGACCGGCCACACUGGGACUGAGACACGGCCCAGACUCCUACGGGAGGCAGCAGUGGGGAAUAUUGCACAAUGGGCGAAAGCCUGAUGCAGCGACGCCGCGUGAGGGAUGACGGCCUUCGGGUUGUAAACCUCUUUCAGCAGGGAAGAAGCGCAAGUGACGGUACCUGCAGAAGAAGCGCCGGCUAACUACGUGCCAGCAGCCGCGGUAAUACGUAGGGCGCAAGCGUUGUCCGGAAUUAUUGGGCGUAAAGAGCUCGUAGGCGGCUUGUCACGUCGGAUGUGAAAGCCCGGGGCUUAACCCCGGGUCUGCAUUCGAUACGGGCUAGCUAGAGUGUGGUAGGGGAGAUCGGAAUUCCUGGUGUAGCGGUGAAAUGCGCAGAUAUCAGGAGGAACACCGGUGGCGAAGGCGGAUCUCUGGGCCAUUACUGACGCUGAGGAGCGAAAGCGUGGGGAGCGAACAGGAUUAGAUACCCUGGUAGUCCACGCCGUAAACGUUGGGAACUAGGUGUUGGCGACAUUCCACGUCGUCG
This 772-nucleotide ribosomal RNA is filed under the name Streptomyces bacillaris. RNAcentral's name for it is "bacterial SSU rRNA". It matches the Rfam family "Bacterial small subunit ribosomal RNA", at positions 56 to 842 of the family's 1533-position model. The record is from RNAcentral. Lineage: Bacteria; Bacillati; Actinomycetota; Actinomycetes; Kitasatosporales; Streptomycetaceae.